CAAAAACAUCUUUUCUUGUUAGUCUUUGAAGUAUGGCCUGCCCACUGACUUUGAGUUGAAGGGCCGCGGUAUUUUGACCGUGCAAAGGUAGCAUAAUCAUUAGUUCUUUAAUUGUGAUCUGGUAUGAAUGGCUUGACGAGGCAUAAGCUGUCUUAGAGGUAUUGUUUUGUUGAAUUUGUAGUUUGAGUUAAAAUUCUUAGAUGUUUUUAUGGGACGAGAAGACCCUAUAGAGUUUGACAUUUAUUUUAGCUGAUGUAUUUGUUUGUUUUGUUUUUUAAAGCUAGGUUGAGUGUUUUGUUGGGGUGAUGGGAAGAAUUUUUGUAACUCUUCUUUAUUUUUGUAUAUUUAUUUAUAUUUGUUUGAUCCAUUUAUGUUGAUUAUAAGAUUAAAUUACCUU
Molecule: ribosomal RNA, 397 nt
Filed under: Embiratermes festivellus
Lineage: Eukaryota; Metazoa; Arthropoda; Insecta; Blattodea; Termitidae
Description: partial 16S ribosomal RNA
Source: RNAcentral